This 449-nucleotide ribosomal RNA is filed under the name uncultured bacterium. RNAcentral's name for it is "partial 16S ribosomal RNA". It matches the Rfam family "Bacterial small subunit ribosomal RNA", at positions 29 to 523 of the family's 1533-position model. The record is from RNAcentral.
AACGAACGCUGGCGGCAUGCCUAACACAUGCAAGUCGAACGAGAUCUUCGGGUCUAGUGGCGCACGGGUGCGUUACGCGUGGGAAUCUGCCCUUUGGUUCGGAAUAACAGUUGGAAACGACUGCUAAUACCGGAUGAUGACGAAAGUCCAAAGAUUUAUCGCCAGAGGAUGAGCCCGCGUAGGAUUAGCUAGUUGGUGUGGUAAAGGCGCACCAAGGCGACGAUCCUUAGCUGGUCUGAGAGGAUGAUCAGCCACACUGGGACUGAGACACGGCCCAGCCUCCUACGGGAGGCAGCAGUGGGGAAUAUUGGACAAUGGGCGGAAGCCUGAUCCAGCAAUGCCGCGUGAGUGAUGAAGGCCUUAGGGUUGUAAAGCUCUUUUACCCGGGAUGAUAAUGACAGUACCGGGAGAAUAAGCUCCGGCUAACUCCGUGCCAGCCGCCGCCGUAA